ACCUGUUUAUAAGCCCGUCCCUCUCUGCCUUGUUGAGCUCCUCUCAAAGUGAAAAUAGAUACCCUUAUACACGGAAUUUGACCUAAAUUCACAGUAAAUUUCUUUGAAUUUCAUAGAAAUUUAUUAUGAAUUUAGGUUGAAUUUUCUCUAUAGGCGCAUCUAUGUUCAUUUUUUAUAGUAAAUAAAAUAAAUAAACCUUAAUAAAAUAAAUAAAAAUAAAUAAACCUUAAUGAAAUAAAAUAAAAUAAACUAUAGCAACUAAAAUAAAUAAACCUUAAUAAAUUAAAUAAAAAUAGCAGCAGUAAAAUAAAUAAAAAUAGC
Molecule: long non-coding RNA, 321 nt
Filed under: Triticum aestivum (bread wheat)
Lineage: Eukaryota; Viridiplantae; Streptophyta; Magnoliopsida; Poales; Poaceae
Description: long non-coding RNA (TAES_LNC019744)
Source: RNAcentral